AGGACCAGAGUGGACGAACCUCUGGUGUACCGGUUGUGACGCCAGUCGCAUCGCCGGGUAGCUAUGUUCGGAAGGGAUAACCGCUGAAAGCAUCUAAGCGGGAAGCCUACCUCAAGAUAAGAUUUCCCUAGGAAUUUAUUCCUCUAAAGAGCCGUUCGAGACUAGGACGUUGAUAGGUUGGAUGUGGAAGCAUAGUGAUAUGUGAAGCUGACCAAUACUAAUUGCUCGUGAGGCUUGACUAUACAACACCCAAGCAGUUG
This 260-nucleotide ribosomal RNA is filed under the name Acinetobacter pittii. RNAcentral's name for it is "partial 23S ribosomal RNA". It matches the Rfam family "Bacterial large subunit ribosomal RNA", at positions 2688 to 2925 of the family's 2925-position model. The record is from RNAcentral. Lineage: Bacteria; Pseudomonadati; Pseudomonadota; Gammaproteobacteria; Moraxellales; Moraxellaceae.